ACGUUAGCGGCGGACGGGUGAGUAACACGUGGGUAACCUACCUAUAAGACUGGGAUAACUUCGGGAAACCGGAGCUAAUACCGGAUAAUAUUUCGAACCGCAUGGUUCGAUAGUGAAAGAUGGUUUUGCUAUCACUUAUAGAUGGACCCGCGCCGUAUUAGCUAGUUGGUAAGGUAACGGCUUACCAAGGCGACGAUACGUAGCCGACCUGAGAGGGUGAUCGGCCACACUGGAACUGAGACACGGUCCAGACUCUACGGGAGGCAGCAGCC
This 272-nucleotide ribosomal RNA is filed under the name uncultured Staphylococcus sp. Its description in RNAcentral is "partial 16S ribosomal RNA". It matches the Rfam family "Bacterial small subunit ribosomal RNA", at positions 89 to 355 of the family's 1533-position model. The record is from RNAcentral. Lineage: Bacteria; Bacillati; Bacillota; Bacilli; Caryophanales; Staphylococcaceae.